AUUGAACGCUGGCGGCAGGCCUAACACAUGCAAGUCGAGCGGCAGCGACUUAACUGAACCUUCGGGGAACGUUAAGGGCGGCGAGCGGCGGACGGGUGAGUAAUGCCUGGGAAUAUGCCUGAUGUGGGGGAUAACUAUUGGAAACGAUAGCUAAUACCGCAUAAUCUCUUCGGAGCAAAGAGGGGGACCUUCGGGCCUCUCGCGUCAGGAUUAGCCCAGGUGGGAUUAGCUUGUUGGUGAGGUAAUGGCUCACCAAGGCAACGAUCCCUAGCUGGUCUGAGAGGAUGAUCAGCCACACUGGAACUGAGACACGGUCCAGACUCCUACGGGAGGCAGCAGUGGGGAAUAUUGCACAAUGGGGGAAACCCUGAUGCAGCCAUGCCGCGUGUGUGAAGAAGGCCUUCGGGUUGUAAAGCACUUUCAGUAGGGAGGAAGGUAGUGUAGUUAACACCUGCACUAUUUGACGUUACCUACAGAAGAAGCACCGGCUAACUCCGUGCCAGCAGCCGCGGUAAUACGGAGGGUGCGAGCGUUAAUCGGAAUUACUGGGCGUAAAGCGCAUGCAGGCGGCCUGUUAAGUCAGAUGUGAAAGCCCGGGGCUUAACCUCGGAAUUGCAUUUGAAACUGGCAGGCUAGAGUCUUGUAGAGGGGGGUAGAAUUUCAGGUGUAGCGGUGAAAUGCGUAGAGAUCUGAAGGAAUACCAGUGGCGAAGGCGGCCCCCUGGACAAAGACUGACGCUCAGAUGCGAAAGCGUGGGGAGCAAACAGG
This 768-nucleotide ribosomal RNA is filed under the name uncultured bacterium. RNAcentral's name for it is "bacterial SSU rRNA". It matches the Rfam family "Bacterial small subunit ribosomal RNA", at positions 28 to 776 of the family's 1533-position model. The record is from RNAcentral.